UAGGGAAUCUUCGGCAAUGGACGAAAGUCUGACCGAGCAACGCCGCGUGAGUGAAGAAGGUUUUCGGAUCGUAAAACUCUGUUGUUAGAGAAGAACAAGGACGUUAGUAACUGAACGUCCCCUGACGGUAUCUAACCAGAAAGCCACGGCUAACUACGUGCCAGCAGCCGCGGUAAUACGUAGGUGGCAAGCGUUGUCCGGAUUUAUUGGUCGUAAAGCGAGCGCAGGCGGUUUCUUAAGUCUGGUGUGAAAGCCCCCGGCUCAACCGGGGAGGGUCAUUGGAAACUGGGGGACUUGAGUGCAGAAGAGGGGAGUGGAAUUCCAUGUGUAGCGGUGAAAUGCGUAGAUAUAUGGAGGAAAACCAGUGGCGAAGGCGGCUCUCUGGUCUGUAACUGACGCUGAGGCUCGAAAGCGGGGGGAGCAAACAGG
RNAcentral lists this ribosomal RNA (429 nucleotides) under Gemmatimonadota bacterium. RNAcentral's name for it is "Gemmatimonadetes bacterium partial 16S ribosomal RNA". It matches the Rfam family "Bacterial small subunit ribosomal RNA", at positions 355 to 776 of the family's 1533-position model. The record is from RNAcentral. Lineage: Bacteria; Pseudomonadati; Gemmatimonadota.